Molecule: ribosomal RNA, 253 nt
Filed under: uncultured bacterium
Lineage: Bacteria
Description: partial 16S ribosomal RNA
Rfam family: Bacterial small subunit ribosomal RNA
Source: RNAcentral
UACGUAGGGUGCGAGCGUUGUCCGGAAUUAUUGGGCGUAAAGAGCUCGUAGGCGGUUUGUCGCGUCGACUGUGAAAACCUACAGCUUAACUGUGGGCUUGCAGUCGAUACGGGCAGACUAGAGUGUGGUAGGGGAGACUGGAAUUCCUGGUGUAGCGGUGAAAUGCGCAGAUAUCAAGAGGAACACCUGCGGCGAAGGCGGGUUGCUGGGCCGACACUGACGCUGAGGCGCGAAAGCCAGGGGAGCGAACGGG